GUGCUUGGUUCAGCAGCACAUAUACUAACACUGGAAUGAUACAGAGAAGAUUAUCAUGGCCCCUGCGCAAGGAUGACAUGCAAAUUCAUGAAGCAUUCCAUAUUUUU
This 107-nucleotide small nuclear RNA is filed under the name Sus scrofa (pig). Lineage: Eukaryota; Metazoa; Chordata; Mammalia; Artiodactyla; Suidae. The record is from RNAcentral. RNAcentral also lists the same sequence under 1 other name.